UGGAGGCAGCAGUGAGGAAUAUUGGACAAUGGGGGCAACCCUGAUCCAGCCAUGCCGCGUGAGUGAAGAAGGCCUUCGGGUUGUAAAGCUCUUUCGGCGGGGACGAUGAUGACGGUACCCGCAUAAGAAGCCCCGGCAAACUUCGUGCCAGCAGCCGCGGUAAUACGAAGGGGGCUAGCGUUGUUCGGAAUUACUGGGCGUAAAGCGCGCGUAGGCGGUGAUCUUUGUCAGAGGUGAAAGCCUGGGGCUCAACUCCAGAAUUGCCUUUGAAACGGGAUUGCUAGAGUCCGAGAGAGGAUGGCGGAAUUCCUAGUGUAGAGGUGAAAUUCGUAGAUAUUAGGAAGAACACCGGUGGCGAAGGCGGCCAUCUGGCUCGGUACUGACGCUCAGGCGCGAAAGCGUGGGGAGCAAACAGGAUUAGAUACCCUGGUAGU
RNAcentral lists this ribosomal RNA (434 nucleotides) under uncultured bacterium. RNAcentral's name for it is "bacterial SSU rRNA". It matches the Rfam family "Bacterial small subunit ribosomal RNA", at positions 343 to 794 of the family's 1533-position model. The record is from RNAcentral.